This 482-nucleotide ribosomal RNA is filed under the name uncultured bacterium. RNAcentral describes it as "partial 16S ribosomal RNA". It matches the Rfam family "Bacterial small subunit ribosomal RNA", at positions 28 to 507 of the family's 1533-position model. The record is from RNAcentral.
GAUGAACGCUAGCGGCAGGCCUAAUACAUGCAAGUCGGACGGGAUUCAGGAGCUUGCUUCUGAUGAGAGUGGCGCACGGGUGCGUAACACGUAUGUAACCUACCUUUAUCAGGGGGAUAGCCUCUCGAAAGAGAGAUUAAGCCCGCAUAAAAUCACAGCACAGCAUUGUGUAAUGAUCAAGUAUUUAUAGGAUAAAGAUGGGCAUGCGGAACAUUAGCUAGAUGGCGGGGUAACGGCCCACCAUGGCGACGAUGUUUAGGGGAUCUGAGAGGAUGGCCCCCCACACUGGUACUGAGACACGGACCAGACUCCUACGGGAGGCAGCAGUAAGGAAUAUUGGUCAAUGGGCGGAAGCCUGAACCAGCCAUGCCGCGUGCAGGAAGACGGCCCUACGGGUUGUAAACUGCUUUUAUACGGGAAUAAACCCAGAUACGUGUAUCUGGCUGAAUGUACUGUAAGAAUAAGGAUCGGCUAACUCCGUG